UAUGUGAUCGUCUCUCGCAUAUCAAUAAGCGGAGGAAAAGAAACUAACAAGGAUUCCCCUAGUAACGGCGAGUGAAGCGGGAAGAGCUCAAAUUUGAAAUCUUAUAGGGUUUCCCUUUACGAAUUGUAGUUUAAAGAAGUGUUUUCUGUUGAGGUUUUGGUAAAAGUUCUUUGGAAUAGGACAUCAUAGAGGGUGAGAAUCCCGUAUUUGACCUUUACUUUCAACUUUGUGAUACACUUUCAAAGAGUCGGAUUGUUUGGGAAUGCAGUCCAAAAUGGGUGGUAAAUUUCAUCUAAAGCUAAAUAUUGGCGAGAGACCGAUAGCGAACAAGUACCGUGAGGGAAAGAUGAAAAGAACUUUGAAAAGAGAGUUAAACAGUACGUGAAAUUGUCAAAAGGGAAGCGUUUGACACCAGUGUUGUUUUUCUGAAAAUCAAUUAAAGAACUGUUUAUGCUAAGUUGUUUAGACUUUAUCAGCUAAUCUGUUUAGUUUUGAGCUUUUCUUUAAUGCACUUUUCAGUUAACAAGUCAACAUCAAUUUCUUUUGCUGUAAAAAAGCUUGAGGAAGGUGGCUUGAGAUUCGUCUUAAGUGUUUAUAGCCUCUUGCCUAUGCAGUCGGAGAGAUUGAGGUCUGCAGCGUAGAUCCUUCGGGGCUAAAUGCAUUUGUGCUAAGUUAUAGCAUUUUAUAGACAACUUGUUGACUAUGAUUUGUCUUGUAGCUUACUCGCUUAUGUUAUUUUACCUACGCUUAGGAUGUUGAACGCGCAAGAGUCUC
RNAcentral lists this ribosomal RNA (774 nucleotides) under uncultured Neocallimastigales. RNAcentral's name for it is "partial large subunit ribosomal RNA". It matches the Rfam family "Eukaryotic large subunit ribosomal RNA", at positions 24 to 643 of the family's 3401-position model. Lineage: Eukaryota; Fungi; Neocallimastigomycota; Neocallimastigomycetes; Neocallimastigales. The record is from RNAcentral.